This 558-nucleotide ribosomal RNA is filed under the name Rhodotorula paludigena. Its description in RNAcentral is "LSU rRNA". It matches the Rfam family "Eukaryotic large subunit ribosomal RNA", at positions 84 to 654 of the family's 3401-position model. The record is from RNAcentral. Lineage: Eukaryota; Fungi; Basidiomycota; Microbotryomycetes; Sporidiobolales; Sporidiobolaceae.
UAGCGGCGAGCGAAGCGGGAAGAGCUCAAAUUUAUAAUCUGGCACUUUCAGUGUCCGAGUUGUAAUCUCUAGAAGUGUUUUCCGCGUUGGACCGCACACAAGUCUGUUGGAAUACAGCGGCACAGUGGUGACACCCCCGUACACGGUGCGGACGCCCAGCGCUUUGUGAUACACUUUCGAAGAGUCGAGUUGUUUGGGAAUGCAGCUCAAAUUGGGUGGUAAAUUCCAUCUAAAGCUAAAUAUUGGCGAGAGACCGAUAGCGAACAAGUACCGUGAGGGAAAGAUGAAAAGCACUUUGGAAAGAGAGUUAACAGUACGUGAAAUUGUUGGAAGGGAAACGCUUGAAGUCAGACUUGCUUGCCGGAGCUUGCUUCGGUUUGCAGGCCAGCAUCAGUUUUCCGGGGUGGAUAAUGGCGGUUAGAAGGUAGCAGCUUCAGCUGUGUUAUAGCUUUCCGCUGGAUACAUCCUGGGGGACUGAGGAACGCAGCGUGCUUUUAGCGGGGGUUUCGACCUCUUCACGCUUAGGAUGCUGGUGUAAUGGCUUUAAACGACCCGUCU